RNAcentral lists this ribosomal RNA (254 nucleotides) under uncultured bacterium. RNAcentral describes it as "partial 16S ribosomal RNA". It matches the Rfam family "Bacterial small subunit ribosomal RNA", at positions 524 to 776 of the family's 1533-position model. The record is from RNAcentral.
UACGGGGGGGGCAAGCGUUGUUCGGAUUUACUGGGCGUAAAGGGCGCGUAGGCGGUCAGCACAAGUCAGUUGUGAAAUCUCCGGGCUUAACUCGGAAAGGUCAACUGAUACUGUGCGACUAGAGUGCAGAAGGGGCAACUGGAAUUCUCGGUGUAGCGGUGAAAUGCGUAGAUAUCGAGAGGAACACCGGUGGCGAAGGCGGCGUUCUGGACUGCAUCUGACACUGAAAGACGAAAGCCAGGGGAGCAAACGGG